GUGCUCGCUUCGGCAGCACAUAUACAAAAAUUGAAACAAUACAGAGAUUAGCAUGGCCCCUGAGCAAAGAUUACAUGCAAAUUCGUGAAGUGUUCCAUAUUUUU
Small nuclear RNA from Mesocricetus auratus (golden hamster), 104 nucleotides. NCBI's taxonomy places the organism in Eukaryota, Metazoa, Chordata, Mammalia, Rodentia, Cricetidae. The record is from Ensembl.